AUGAAGGUCAAUGGAAGGAUGGUGGAAAGAUACUGGCAAUCCGCUGUGGACGACAUGUAUGAAAAAAGACUGAAGGAUGUUUUAUGUCCGUGUCGAAAAUGCAAAGGAAUAGUCAGGCUCGACCCCUUUGAGGGUGGCACAUUCAAGGCGCACCUGCUCAUGCAUGGUUUCAUGCAUGGCCAUACUCGGUGGAUAAGUGAAGAUGAUGAUGUUGAGGAUGUCGACGGGGCAGGAAAUAACGACAUGGGGCUACCAGACGAAGAGAUGACCGAUUAUGUGCCCGAAGAGGAAGACGGCCUCGGAAAUGUUGAUGGCGAAGAGGAAGUUCAAGGCGGAGAAGACGCGGACACGCCGCCGUCUUCGUCGCUACUAAGUUCAGCCAUGCAGGACCCGCAUGUUCGAGACCUGCUUCGCAAGAAGACGAGUAGCGACAGAGCUGCUUCUACACAGGAGGCCAAACUGGCGCAACUGGAGGUAGACUCGACGACUCCUUUGUAUGAUGGUUGCAAUCCCGAGGUGACCCGCUUGAGUUUCACACUAGAACUUCUAAAUACGAAGGCAAAAAACAAAUGG
RNAcentral lists this ribosomal RNA (573 nucleotides) under Triticum aestivum (bread wheat). RNAcentral's name for it is "partial small subunit ribosomal RNA". Lineage: Eukaryota; Viridiplantae; Streptophyta; Magnoliopsida; Poales; Poaceae. The record is from RNAcentral.